GCGGGCGUGGCGGAACUGGCAGACGCGCCGGUUUUAGGAACCGGUUCUUAGGAGUAAGGGUUCAAAUCCCUUCGUCCGCACCA
This 83-nucleotide transfer RNA is filed under the name Clostridiales bacterium. RNAcentral describes it as "tRNA-Leu". It matches the Rfam family "tRNA". Rfam says of the family: Transfer RNA (tRNA) molecules are approximately 80 nucleotides in length. Lineage: Bacteria; Bacillati; Bacillota; Clostridia; Eubacteriales. The record is from RNAcentral.